UGUAAUGAAUUGCUGUAAAAAUUACAGCAUUAUUUUACAGCCGCGGACUGUUUUUUAAUAAUACAGCAUAUUGCUGUAAACUGCAAUGCAUUCUGGGGUCACGUGUAGGUCUGACUCAAAUUUACAGAAUUUUGCUGUAAAUUUCAAAUCUUCGGAGCCGCAUCGUCAACGGUCGAGGAGAUUAACGUUAAAGACAAGAGGAGUGAUUCACAACUGUGGUAAGUGACUUCAGUUUUUUAUAUUUCUUGUUUGGUAGUUUAUAGUAUAUGAAUGCAUCUACAUUCGCGGAUUAUAUUGGUAACCCCAGAUUCAAGCAUCAUCCGUCCGCGGGGCGCGAGGCAGAAUUGCGCGGGGUUUCAGUAGCGCGGUCGCGGUAGGAUUUCACACAUCCCCCGGCGCGCAGCCAUGGACAGAAAAUCUCUGGAAUCCUUCGUUAUGAAUGACAUGUUUCAGUGCUAAUAGUUUAUAUUCACUGUAACUUAGUGUUUAUCAGCACACUUCGUCGUGAUUAUUUUAUGAUGUAAAACAACUUUGCACAUGCAGUCAUCUGUUAACACGGGCGCCGAAAUAAAACGCGUUUCUAAAGCCUCGCGGUCAGUCAGGGUCGCUCACGGAGGAUGUGUGUGUCAUAUAAAUUCUCAGUGGUGCUUUUCUAAGAGGUUAACGUAACCAGUGAGAUGUAGAUUUUUUUUGAGCAUUUGCUAACUUCAGGUAACGUUAAUGUGAAAACUUUAACAAAUCUGUUUGAUAUAAAGUCUGCUUUGUAUAGUUAGCCUAAUUUAUUACCUUAGGGCGACCAAAUACGUUUUCCUUGAAAUUAUUAAAUAUGCUAUUUAUAUAUAUGUGUCUAUAUUUAUGUCGGCCGGCAAAUCUUGUGUGUAUUUUGGCACAGGGUGCACAAAUGCUCCUUAUCAGUGCGGUGACACUUGAACAAAUGAACUGAUCAUGCGCGACACUGACCAAUAAACAAACGAGUUGUUUUAUUGCGUCUAUGACUUGAAUCUUAUCAUCAGUUGUAGUGAUGGGAAGUUCGGAUCAUUUUACCGAAUCGGACUUUUGAGUCUCGUUCAGCAAAAUGAACGAAUCUUUUUUCGAGUCAUUUCAAAUGAACGAACAACCAGAAGGUUCAGGAAGAAAAAAAACAAAAUGCUUGCAGUCUGUUUCACAUUAGGAGGCAUUUUGCUGCAUAAUCGAUCCACCACAAACCAUAUGCAACUAUGGAAGCUCAACUUCCAUUAAAUGGACUGAAAACGCUCAAGUAACGUUAUAGGUCUCAAAACGCUUGCUCUGCGCCAGUGGAUACACACCAUAGACAGUAAAAGAAAUAUGUGCAUGUCACAGACUGUCUGGGCAUGCACUUCCGCGUUUCAGAGAUCCGCCUUUUACUUUCCGUCAACAUUACAUUAAUUAACGUUUAGAAAAUUUAUUUUUGACAUUUGUGAAUCAGUUCAGAAUCGUCUGCUUAUGCAUUGCGAUACAUUUAAGAAUCACAUUUUUAUCCCACCCCUACUAAAUAUAGAGACACUUUGACAAGUGGGCACUGGAUGCUGAGUAUUGAAGGCGAGGUAGUGUGUGAGGGCACUCAGCCCAGUUUCCUGUCCGGCCUUGCCACUCUGUUUGCUGCUUAUUACUAGUUUAAUCUUGAGUAUCAGGAGGAAGCAGUGUGUACCUUGGAGUUCAUUCAAAGGUGCUUUGUGGGCAUAAAUCCAGAGAGAGGACCCAAAGCCAAGGGAAAAGUGCCAUCGAAAUAAAAACAGGACAAGUGAUACAGAAGAAAAUGUGUGGCAGUCAACCCACAUGUUGCCACUCUUCUGUGCAAAUUCCAAUGGAAUUUCUGAAAUUCACACUUUGAAUCCUGGGAUGGAACUUCAUCUGGAGCAUAAUUGUUAUUUGGUUGAUUUUUAUCUGUUUGAUGGAAAGUUUGUAUGACUUCUGCAAGUGCGCGGCUCCUUCCGGUCAGUCAUGCAUCACUUUUUUUUGUAUGACUUGUUUGGCAAUAUUGGUCUAUUCCUUAAUGAUGAUAGCUAUCUGAAAAUGUCUUUGUGGUUUUUAAAGGAUUAGUUCACCCAAAAAUGAAAAUUAAGUCAAUAAUUACUUAUGUCGUUUCACACCCGUAAGAUCUUCGUUCAUCCUCACAACACACAUUAAGAUGUGGCUCAGUGAAGCGUGCAUUUCUAGCAAGAUCAUUUCUUUUUUUCAAUGCCCAGAAAGCCUCUAAAACAUUUAAAACAAUUCAUGUGACUACAGUUGUUCAACCUAAAUAUUAUAAAGCGACGAGAAUACUUUUUUUGCCAACCCCCCCCCCCCCCCCACCCCCAUCUCCCAAAACAACGAUUUUAUUCAACUAUAUCUAGUGAUGGGCGAUCUCAAAACACUGCUUCAUGAAGCUUAGAAGCUUUACGAAUCUUUUGUUUCAAAUCAUUUGCUCAGAACGUGUAUCAAACUGCAAAAGUCACACGAACCAUUGAAAUCAAA
Carassius gibelio (silver crucian carp) is the source of this 2475-nucleotide long non-coding RNA. RefSeq lists it as uncharacterized. The record is from RefSeq and is a predicted model, not a curated record. The transcript has 4 exons. Lineage: Eukaryota; Metazoa; Chordata; Actinopteri; Cypriniformes; Cyprinidae.